This 578-nucleotide ribosomal RNA is filed under the name Aspergillus sp. BAB-5185. RNAcentral's name for it is "eukaryotic LSU rRNA". The stretch from base 190 to 343 matches the Rfam family "5.8S ribosomal RNA". Lineage: Eukaryota; Fungi; Ascomycota; Eurotiomycetes; Eurotiales; Aspergillaceae. The record is from RNAcentral.
CUUCCGUAGGUGAACCUGCGGAAGGAUCAUUACUGAGUGCGGGCUGCCUCCGGGCGCCCAACCUCCCACCCGUGAAUACCUAACACUGUUGCUUCGGCGGGGAACCCCCCUCGGGGGCGAGCCGCCGGGGACUACUGAACUUCAUGCCUGAGAGUGAUGCAGUCUGAGUCUGAAUAUAAAAUCAGUCAAAACUUUCAACAAUGGAUCUCUUGGUUCCGGCAUCGAUGAAGAACGCAGCGAACUGCGAUAAGUAAUGUGAAUUGCAGAAUUCAGUGAAUCAUCGAGUCUUUGAACGCACAUUGCGCCCCCUGGCAUUCCGGGGGGCAUGCCUGUCCGAGCGUCAUUGCUGCCCAUCAAGCCCGGCUUGUGUGUUGGGUCGUCGUCCCCCCCGGGGGACGGGCCCGAAAGGCAGCGGCGGCACCGUGUCCGGUCCUCGAGCGUAUGGGGCUUUGUCACCCGCUCGACUAGGGCCGGCCGGGCGCCAGCCGACGUCUCCAACCAUUUUUCUUCAGGUUGACCUCGGAUCAUGUAGAGCCGGCAUAGCCCGCUGAACUUAUGCAUAUCAAUAAGCGGAGGAA